UUUUACAUAGAAAUACAGUAAAACUACUUAUCUGUUUUUCAAACAAAAACAUAUGUAAACAUGAUUCCUUAUAAAACAUAUUUUCAAAGCCCAUCUCAAAAACAAGCUAGACCACUCAAAAAACAAAACAAUAGAAAAAAAAUACCCAAGCAAGCAAAAUGUAUUCAUUUUAAUUACAGUCUGAAGAACGCGGAACCCCUUCCCGUCGCAGUAAAUCGGAAGGACCACCAGCGGUUGCCAACGGACGGCUACCGACCGGAACCGGCACCGGCGGCAUCUCGAACGGAGUAGCACACGAGCCGGUCUCGGUCGAAGGCAGAGCGCAGGAACAGCCGGCGAACGCUCACGAACUGGAACCCCUGGUGAACGACGUCGACGGUGAAAAGCCGCAGCAUGAA
RNAcentral lists this long non-coding RNA (398 nucleotides) under Aedes aegypti (yellow fever mosquito). RNAcentral's name for it is "lncRNA AAEL027080". Lineage: Eukaryota; Metazoa; Arthropoda; Insecta; Diptera; Culicidae. The record is from RNAcentral.